UGCAAGUCGAGCGGACAGAUGGGAGCUUGCUCCCGGUAUGUUAGCGGCGGACGGGUGAGUAACACGUGGGUAACCUGCCUGUAAGACUGGGAUAACUCCGGGAAACCGGAGCUAAUACCGGAUAGUUCCUUGAACCGCAUGGUUCAAGGAUGAAAGACGGUUUCGGCUGUCACUUACAGAUGGACCCGCGGCGCAUUAUCUAGUUGGUGAGGUAACGGCUCACCAAGGCGACGAUGCGUAGCCGACCUGAGAGGGUGAUCGGCCACACUGGGACUGAGACACGGCCCAGCACUCCUACGGGAGGCAGCAGUAGGGAAUCUUCCGCAAUGGACGAAAGUCUGACGGAGCAACGCCGCGUGAGUGAUGAAGGUUUUCGGAUCGUAAAGCUCUGUUGUUAGGGAAGAACAAGUGCAAGAGUAACUGCUUGCACCUUGACGGUACCUAACCAGAAAGACCACGGCUAACUACGUGCCACCAGCCGCGGUAAUACGUAGGUGGCAAGCGUUGUCCGGAAUUAUUGGGCGUAAAGGGCUCGCAGGCGGUUUCUUAAGUCUGAUGUGAAAGCCCCCGGCUCAACCGGGGAGGGUCAUUGGAAACUGGGAAACUUGAGUGCAGAAGAGGAGAGUGGAAUUCCACGUGUAGCGGUGAAAUGCGUAGAGAUGUGGAGGAACACCAGUGGCGAAGGCGACUCUCUGGUCUGUAACUGACGCUGAUGAGCGAAAGCGUGGGGAGCGAACAGGAUUAUAUACCCCUGGUGGUCCACGCCGUAACGAUGAGUGCUAAGUGUUGGGGGUUUCCGCCCCUUAUUGCUGCAGCUAACGCAUUAAUCACUCCGCC
RNAcentral lists this ribosomal RNA (837 nucleotides) under Bacillus sp. (in: firmicutes). Its description in RNAcentral is "bacterial SSU rRNA". It matches the Rfam family "Bacterial small subunit ribosomal RNA", at positions 56 to 873 of the family's 1533-position model. Lineage: Bacteria; Bacillati; Bacillota; Bacilli; Caryophanales; Bacillaceae. The record is from RNAcentral.